Molecule: ribosomal RNA, 2908 nt
Filed under: Salmonella enterica subsp. enterica serovar Enteritidis
Lineage: Bacteria; Pseudomonadati; Pseudomonadota; Gammaproteobacteria; Enterobacterales; Enterobacteriaceae
Description: bacterial LSU rRNA
Rfam family: Bacterial large subunit ribosomal RNA
Source: RNAcentral
GGGUUGUGAGGUUAAGCGACUAAGCGUACACGGUGGAUGCCCUGGCAGUCAGAGGCGAUGAAGGGCGUGCUAAUCUGCGAUAAGCGCCGGUAAGGUGAUAUGAACCGUUAUAACCGGCGAUACCCGAAUGGGGAAACCCAGUGUGACUCGUCACACUAUCAUUAACUGAAUCCAUAGGUUAAUGAGGCGAACCGGGGGAACUGAAACAUCUAAGUACCCCGAGGAAAAGAAAUCAACCGAGAUUCCCCCAGUAGCGGCGAGCGAACGGGGAGGAGCCCAGAGCCUGAAUCAGCAUGUGUGUUAGUGGAAGCGUCUGGAAAGGCGCGCGAUACAGGGUGACAGCCCCGUACACAAAAGCGCAUGUGCUGUGAGCUCGAUGAGUAGGGCGGGACACGUGGUAUCCUGUCUGAAUAUGGGGGGACCAUCCUCCAAGGCUAAAUACUCCUGACUGACCGAUAGUGAACCAGUACCGUGAGGGAAAGGCGAAAAGAACCCCGGCGAGGGGAGUGAAAAAGAACCUGAAACCGUGUACGUACAAGCAGUGGGAGCACCCUUUGGGUGUGACUGCGUACCUUUUGUAUAAUGGGUCAGCGACUUAUAUUCUGUAGCAAGGUUAACCGAAUAGGGGAGCCGGAGGGAAACCGAGUCUUAACCGGGCGUUAAGUUGCAGGGUAUAGACCCGAAACCCGGUGAUCUAGCCAUGGGCAGGUUGAAGGUUGGGUAACACUAACUGGAGGACCGAACCGACUAAUGUUGAAAAAUUAGCGGAUGACCUGUGGCUGGGGGUGAAAGGCCAAUCAAACCGGGAGAUAGCUGGUUCUCCCCGAAAGCUAUUUAGGUAGCGCCUCGUGAAUUCAUCUCCGGGGGUAGAGCACUGUUUCGGCUAGGGGGCCAUCCCGGCUUACCAACCCGAUGCAAACUGCGAAUACCGGAGAAUGUUAUCACGGGAGACACACGGCGGGUGCUAACGUCCGUCGUGAAGAGGGAAACAACCCAGACCGCCAGCUAAGGUCCCAAAGUCAUGGUUAAGUGGGAAACGAUGUGGGAAGGCCCAGACAGCCAGGAUGUUGGCUUAGAAGCAGCCAUCAUUUAAAGAAAGCGUAAUAGCUCACUGGUCGAGUCGGCCUGCGCGGAAGAUGUAACGGGGCUAAACCAUGCACCGAAGCUGCGGCAGCGACACUGUGUGUUGUUGGGUAGGGGAGCGUUCUGUAAGCCUGCGAUGCUGGAGGUAUCAGAAGUGCGAAUGCUGACAUAAGUAACGAUAAAGCGGGUGAAAAGCCCGCUCGCCGGAAGACCAAGGGUUCCUGUCCAACGUUAAUCGGGGCAGGGUGAGUCGACCCCUAAGGCGAGGCCGAAAGGCGUAGUCGAUGGGAAACGGGUUAAUAUUCCCGUACUUGGUGUUACUGCGAAGGGGGGACGGAGAAGGCUAUGUUGGCCGGGCGACGGUUGUCCCGGUUUAAGUGUGUAGGUGUGUGUUCCAGGUAAAUCCGGUUCACUUUAACACUGAGGCGUGACGACGAGGCACUACGGUGCUGAAGCAACAAAUGCCCUGCUUCCAGGAAAAGCCUCUAAGCAUCAGGUAACAUCAAAUCGUACCCCAAACCGACACAGGUGGUCAGGUAGAGAAUACCAAGGCGCUUGAGAGAACUCGGGUGAAGGAACUAGGCAAAAUGGUGCCGUAACUUCGGGAGAAGGCACGCUGACACGUAGGUGAAGUGAUUUACUCAUGGAGCUGAAGUCAGUCGAAGAUACCAGCUGGCUGCAACUGUUUAUUAAAAACACAGCACUGUGCAAACACGAAAGUGGACGUAUACGGUGUGACGCCUGCCCGGUGCCGGAAGGUUAAUUGAUGGGGUCAGCGCAAGCGAAGCUCCUGAUCGAAGCCCCGGUAAACGGCGGCCGUAACUAUAACGGUCCUAAGGUAGCGAAAUUCCUUGUCGGGUAAGUUCCGACCUGCACGAAUGGCGUAAUGAUGGCCAGGCUGUCUCCACCCGAGACUCAGUGAAAUUGAACUCGCUGUGAAGAUGCAGUGUACCCGCGGCAAGACGGAAAGACCCCGUGAACCUUUACUAUAGCUUGACACUGAACAUUGAGCCUUGAUGUGUAGGAUAGGUGGGAGGCUUUGAAGUGUGGACGCCAGUCUGCAUGGAGCCGACCUUGAAAUACCACCCUUUAAUGUUUGAUGUUCUAACGUGGACCCGUUACCCGGGUUGCGGACAGUGUCUGGUGGGUAGUUUGACUGGGGCGGUCUCCUCCUAAAGAGUAACGGAGGAGCACGAAGGUUGGCUAAUCCUGGUCGGACAUCAGGAGGUUAGUGCAAUGGCAUAAGCCAGCUUGACUGCGAGCGUGACGGCGCGAGCAGGUGCGAAAGCAGGUCAUAGUGAUCCGGUGGUUCUGAAUGGAAGGGCCAUCGCUCAACGGAUAAAAGGUACUCCGGGGAUAACAGGCUGAUACCGCCCAAGAGUUCAUAUCGACGGCGGUGUUUGGCACCUCGAUGUCGGCUCAUCACAUCCUGGGGCUGAAGUAGGUCCCAAGGGUAUGGCUGUUCGCCAUUUAAAGUGGUACGCGAGCUGGGUUUAGAACGUCGUGAGACAGUUCGGUCCCUAUCUGCCGUGGGCGCUGGAGAACUGAGGGGGGCUGCUCCUAGUACGAGAGGACCGGAGUGGACGCAUCACUGGUGUUCGGGUUGUCAUGCCAAUGGCACUGCCCGGUAGCUAAAUGCGGAAGAGAUAAGUGCUGAAAGCAUCUAAGCACGAAACUUGCCCCGAGAUGAGUUCUCCCUGAGACUUAGAGUCUCCUGAAGGAACGUUGAAGACGACGACGUUGAUAGGCCGGGUGUGUAAGCGCAGCGAUGCGUUGAGCUAACCGGUACUAAUGAACCGUGAGGCUUAACCUUACAACGCCGAAG